UAAUACUGUAUCGACAGGGUUACAGCAUAUGUAUCAGAUAGAUACCUACCUUUCCAGUGGAGAAAUUGAUAAUAAUAGGUACCCGACAGGCCAACCACCAGCAUCUCCGGACAUUGCAAUUAAUUGUAAGCCUAGCCAGGCAGCUAGACUACAUACUACAACACAGCCACUACUAUUUUGCUGUUUCACUGUCUACGACCCCAAGGCGAAAUGUCAUUGGCCAAUGGCUCUCAAGGAACAAGAGCAAAUAAAUUUCAAAAAUUCCAUCGGGUUCCCAAGA
Molecule: long non-coding RNA, 280 nt
Organism: Alosa alosa (allis shad)
Lineage: Eukaryota; Metazoa; Chordata; Actinopteri; Clupeiformes; Clupeidae
Exons: 3
Source: RefSeq, a predicted model, not a curated record